CAGCAGCCGCGGGAAUACGAAGGGGGCUGGCGUUGUUCGGAAUUAUAGGGCGUAAAGGGCUCGCAGGCGGUUUCUUAAGUCUGAUGUGAAAGCCCCCGGCUCAACCGGGGAGGGUCAUUGGAAACUGGGAAACUUGAGUGCAGAAGAGGAGAGUGGAAUUCCACGUGUAGCGGUGAAAUGCGUAGAGAUGUGGAGGAACACCAGUGGUGAAGGCGACUCUCUGGUCUGUAACUGACGCUGAGGAGCGAAAGCGUGGGGAGCGAACAGGAUUAGAUACCCCAGUAGUCCCUGUCUCUUAUAA
Molecule: ribosomal RNA, 301 nt
Filed under: uncultured bacterium
Lineage: Bacteria
Description: partial 16S ribosomal RNA
Rfam family: Bacterial small subunit ribosomal RNA
Source: RNAcentral